This 72-nucleotide transfer RNA is filed under the name Loxodonta africana (African savanna elephant). It matches the Rfam family "tRNA". Rfam says of the family: Transfer RNA (tRNA) molecules are approximately 80 nucleotides in length. Their secondary structure includes four short double-helical elements and three loops (D, anti-codon, and T loops). The record is from Rfam by way of RNAcentral. Lineage: Eukaryota; Metazoa; Chordata; Mammalia; Proboscidea; Elephantidae.
GUUUUUGGGGCAAACGGUUAAUGCGCUCGGCUGCUAACAGAAAGGUUGGAGGUUCGAGUCCACCCAGAGGCA